ACCAGACUCCUACGGGAGGCAGCAGUGGGGGAUAUUGCACAAUGGGGGGAACCCUGAUGCAGCGACGCCGCGUGGGUGAAGAAGCGCCUCGGCGCGUAAAGCCCUGUCAGCAGGGAAGAAAAUGACGGUACCUGAAGAAGAAGCCCCGGCUAACUACGUGCCAGCAGCCGCGGUAAUACGUAGGGGGCAAGCGUUAUCCGGAUUUACUGGGUGUAAAGGGGGCGCAGACGGCGAUGCAAGCCAGGAGUGAAAGCCCGGGGCCCAACCCCGGGACUGCUCUUGGAACUGCGUGGCUGGAGUGCAGGAGGGGCAGGCGGAAUUCCUGGUGUAGCGGUGAAAUGCGUAGAUAUCAGGAGGAACACCGGCGGCGAAGGCGGCCUGCUGGACCGUGACUGACGUUGAGGCUCGAGAGCGUGGGGAGCAAACAGGAUUAGAUACCCUUGUACCC
Molecule: ribosomal RNA, 448 nt
Filed under: uncultured bacterium
Lineage: Bacteria
Description: partial 16S ribosomal RNA
Rfam family: Bacterial small subunit ribosomal RNA
Source: RNAcentral